Long non-coding RNA from Schistocerca gregaria, 1460 nucleotides. RefSeq lists it as uncharacterized. Lineage: Eukaryota; Metazoa; Arthropoda; Insecta; Orthoptera; Acrididae. The record is from RefSeq and is a predicted model, not a curated record. The transcript has 3 exons.
AUGCAAUAUAUGUAUGUAUAGGAGCUCUCAUGAAGCGCACGACCUCAAGAUGACGUCACUCUUGCACAAAGUAAUGUGAACUGUAGGAUACCUCCUGCAUAUCGCAGACAUAUAGAAUAUCGACUGCCAAUCGUAAAACAGAAGAAUAAAGAUGUGCUUCAUGAAUGUUAACGUGUUCAUCAGUACUUACAUGUCGGUUGCUGAUUUCGUCAAUAAUUCUGACGCUGAUCCCUGUAUGCUGGCUUAAUAAGGAAUUAUGGGUGUCGAUAAUAUUGAGAAGUGUGUUGCUAUGGGAGGACAGAAACAGAUGGCUUGUUUUUGGCUAGCUUACUGAUGAUCGUGUGUCAGGAGAUGAGCUUCUUAAAGGAGAACCAGGCAAGGCCUCAGGAAAAUGUGUGUGUGAAGACUCAAAGGAAUUAAAAUUAAGCAAAUUGUGUCUCGUUCUUUGCACCUGGAGAAUGUAUUAGUGUCACAACCAUAAACUUACUCAGGUGAAUUUAUACUACCCUGCUUGAAAGACAGCUCUUACUCUGAGAAAGCCCUCUGUGGAACUCCAGCCAGAUAACAACAGUGGACAUUACAAAAGUCAUAAUUAGAACUUUACGUACAGAGCAAGAACAAUAAAUGUAUUGUUCCUAGUAAGUUGAACUGUGUGCUGGACCAGGACUCGAAAUUGGAACCUUGCAGAUGAACAUACGUGGAGUACGAGAAGGAGGAGGAAGACGUACUAGUGGAAGUAAUGGGGGGCAGGUCACGAAUCAUGCCUGGGAUCGCUUGGUCGGUAAUAGCAGUCCUCACGAGAGGGUAGGUUCUGUUUCAAGAGCCCCAGAAGUUUUAAAGCAGAACACACUCUGCUGUGGAGUGAAAUGCGUAACUUUAGAGUACAGAAGCAUAUAAGAGUAAUGUAUAGUGUAAAUCCAAGAACAUCAUGUUGGAACCUAUUUAAAGAAUUGGGCAUACUAACCACAGCUUCUCAGUAUAUUUAUUCCUUAAUGAAGUUCGUUGUAAGUAAUACAUAUAUUUUUCCAACUAACUUCUUAGUACACAGUAUCAAUACUAGUAAUAAGAACAAUAUACAUAAAGAUUUAAAAUCACUUACUCUUGGCCGGAAAAGAGUCCGGUAUUCAGCAAUGCAUAUUUUCAAUAAGUUACCAGCAACCAUUAAUAGUUUAGUUUCAGACAAGGCACAAUUUAAACAUAAUUUAAAGGAAUUUUUGGUGGGCAACUCCUAUUCCAUCUAUGACUUUCUCAACAAGUGCAGUAGACCAUUGUAAUAAAAAUUUAUUGCUUUAAUUUUUGAUGAUACUUGGCUGUAACAGGUGUGAAAGGUGAAUGUAUGGAAAGCAGAUGCAAGUAUUUAACCUGUAAAUAUUAGAAGUUUAAUUUUAAUUCAUGUACAUAAUUUUAUUGUUUAUUGAAUGAGGAUCAUUAAAAUUAAUGAAACUCAAUUUUUCUAAUUA